RNAcentral lists this ribosomal RNA (312 nucleotides) under Triticum aestivum (bread wheat). RNAcentral describes it as "partial small subunit ribosomal RNA". The record is from RNAcentral. Lineage: Eukaryota; Viridiplantae; Streptophyta; Magnoliopsida; Poales; Poaceae.
AUGACAAUCUCACUCAGGAUUACCAGCUCGCUGGUCCAUGGCGAUUCGAAUCUCCUCAUCCAGCAGGUGGUGAAAGAGUGGGACAUUAGGGGCGAAUCACUAACUACCUAUUGCGCAACCGUCGGAAAGCUAGAAGGAAUAUUCGAAGGACUGGAGUUGACUCACGUUUGGAGAGUUGAGAAUGAGGUAGUUGCUUCCUUGGCGAAGCUUGGUUUCACUGGGUUGCCAAUUCGACCUGGUAUUUUUCUUCACCAACUCCAUGAAUCGACUAUUCAUGAGAAACCAUAUGGCAAUCCAGAUAAUCCUCAAUAG